RNAcentral lists this ribosomal RNA (1071 nucleotides) under Triticum aestivum (bread wheat). RNAcentral's name for it is "partial small subunit ribosomal RNA". The record is from RNAcentral. Lineage: Eukaryota; Viridiplantae; Streptophyta; Magnoliopsida; Poales; Poaceae.
AUGUCAUACGGCCAACAAUUCAAGAUCCGCGAGGUGCCCCCGAUCGUGCAGGAGCUGGUGGCCGGCGGCGUGCAGGAGCCACCGCGCCAGUACGUGGUUCCUGAGCAAGACCGUCCCACCGCGGCGGUCUCGGAGAUGCCCGAGCCCAUCCCAGUCGUCGACCUCAGCCGGCUGUCCGCCAACAGCGCCGACGAGCUCGCCAAGCUGCAGUCCGCACUGCAGAGCUGGGACCUCUUCCUGGUCGUUGGACAUGGAAUGGAUCCUAGUUUUCUUGCCGAGGUGAUGAAGGCCAUGAGGGAGUUCUUCAAGCUCCCGCUAGAAGAGAAACAGAAGUACUCGAACAUUGUCGACGGCAAGAAGAUGAGCUCGGAUGGAUACGGCAACGACAUGGUCGUGAUGGAAAAUCAGGUCCUUGACUGGAACGACCGUCUCAGCCUCCAAUUGGAACCCGAGUCGGAGAGAGCCUAUGCACGGUGGCCAACACAACCACCUUCUUUCAGAGACAUUCUAUGUGAGUACACGGUCCGAUGCAGAGCGGUGGCAAACAUUAUCCUGCAAAACCUAGCCAAGCUUCUCAAUUUACAGGAGGAAUACUUGACAACCAUGCUCGGCGAGAAGUCCUUAACCCAUGCUAUAAUCAACUACUACCCUCGGUGCCCCAUGCCGGACCAUGUCUUGGGCCUUAAGCCCCACACCGAUGCUUCGAUGAUCACGGUCAACUUCAUUGAUGCCGACGUCAGCGGGCUCCAGCUCCAGAAGAAUUGCAUCUGGUACAAUGUGCCCAUCGUCCCAAACGCAUUGGUUGUGAACAUAGGGGAUGUAAUGGAGAUAGUGAGCAACGGAUUCUUCAAAAGCUUGGUGCAUAGGGUCGUGACCAAUGCGGAGAAAGAGCGCUUGUCGUUGGUGAUGUUCUACGCGUUGGACCCAGAGGCGGAGAUUGAGCCGGUGCAAGAGCUGGUGGAUGACCAGAGACCUAGACGAUACAGGAAGAUGAAGAGCAAGGACUACCUAGCGAAAUUCUUUGACACUUAUGCAACAGGGAAACUAGCCAUCGACUCCAUGAGGAUCUGA